UGUAACUUUCCUUUUUGAAGAGGGCACGUUGAUUCCUCUCCUUUGCCAAGUGAGUUACUUAAGUUGCAAGAAUUCAGGAUGUAUCAUUUCAAAAGAUAAGCCAUUAUUUCAGAUAAUAAGAAGCUUACAUUGUGUUGUUGCUCGACAAUGUUCAAGUGUUUUCCACACCCUCCGGAGGUCCAAGGUUGUACAGCUUCAGAGUUCAGAGAUUGAGACUGAGCCCAGCCCUCCUCUCCCACAGUCUAGCUCCCUGUCACAGAGCAGAGAAGAUUUCUGCCACAGGAUUCUAUGUCAGACAAGAUGACUCCCCACCAACAACCUCACUCUAUUAUAAACACAUAAAGUAUGCAAUCAAUGUUUGUAAAUGCUCCAGUCAAAUGCACUCUUACUGAUAGAGGUCUAUAUCUGUUGCUUCAUUAAUGAAGAAGUGUCUCCUGAGCCCGCCACAUCCUACAGCCCUUUUCAGAUGCCGAGGUUCUCAAACAAACCCGAAGGACUAAAGGUUGGCGUGGUCAUGGCAGAAACACCUCCAGCAGGAUAGAGAGGUAACAAAAGGAGGAAGGCUGGGUCUUGGGAAACUACCCUCUCCGGCUGAACUGAUGGGCCGGAAGAAGAAGGGGAGGACAGGGGAGCAGCACAGGGCAGCCAGGUGGUGCAAGCCAGAGUGGCAGCAGUGAUGCAGCACAAUGGGGACCUCUGCAGGAGACCGAGCUCUAUUGAUCAGCAAGUGUGAAUAUCCCUUAUUCUACUGUGAUGUCUUUGCAGAGUCUCUUUGGAACAAGCAUCCCAUCUUGCUCCUGGUGGGAAUCUGAUGAUGUCAUUUGUCCUGGCAACUGCUGAUCGACAAGCCAAGGGGGGUUGGCAAGGCCCUUGUCUGUCCCAUAAUGAAUUCUGGGACAAUGGGCACACUGCAGAGUAGUAAUUGUAUUUUAAUAUAUUUAUCCAAAGCAGUUCACCUUGUAUAAAGGGGAAAUAGUUUGUAUUGAUCAGAUUAAGAGUUUGAGGGAAAUGUUUUGUAUUGUUACAUUACAUUUGUUCAGAUUUUACAGCUUAAAAACGCUGUACAACACUUGGACAGUUCAUUUUAUACCGGAUAGCCAGGCAAUGAAAUAAAGGGAGGAAAUAAAUACAGAAAACUGAACAUUUUAAUUUGCAUUCCAAGUGUGACUAGUAUGGUCUUGAACUUGGGAGCUUUAUAUGAGGAAAUAUAUUAGAGAAAACAAACGCUGAAGGAUUUGCCUUGGCUGCUCACUUCACUGCUGUUUUGACAGCGAGCCCAUUCCUCUUGUCUGAGAAGGCUUUCAGUUCUCGAAGGGCUGGCGAGGCAGUUUUUGAGGUAGUGAAGUGGGAGACUAGCGGCCUCAGCCUUCGACUGAGUCCAUCUCUUAAAGGACUUUGACCUUGUUCUGUCAAACCCAGACAACCUGACUAGACAUUUAUUUCUUUAUUUAUGUUUAGCUUUCAAGGGGAAUAUGCUGUGCGGUAAGCCAUUUCCUUCGAAAGCCAAAGCAUAUAAAUCCAUUUAUUAUAAUGUAUAGUGCUGCAAACCCAUUGAACUGUGUUCAGUUAUUAAAAUCAGUUAUUUUUAUCAGCAACCUG
Molecule: long non-coding RNA, 1599 nt
Organism: Salvelinus sp. IW2-2015
Lineage: Eukaryota; Metazoa; Chordata; Actinopteri; Salmoniformes; Salmonidae
Source: RefSeq, a predicted model, not a curated record